RNAcentral lists this long non-coding RNA (2584 nucleotides) under Pelobates cultripes (western spadefoot toad). Lineage: Eukaryota; Metazoa; Chordata; Amphibia; Anura; Pelobatidae. The record is from RNAcentral.
AGGAGACUCAGCGCUUCUUCUUUACUGCUCCUAUAUUGUCACCUUGAGAUCCCCAUCGUUUUAUUGAAACAUAGGCAGUUGCUUCUUCUUCACAGAAAAACUGCAAUUCCUCUGUGGAUCACCUUUUCCAGAGAGAUCCUUCACUCUGUUUAAACUCCAUGGCAUCUUCACUAGGUUCAUCCAGGAUAGCAUAGCGACCAGCAGUUAUCUCAAAUGACGAAAGCAUCUGAGGAGGUUUUUGUGAUUCACGAGUACCUGAAUAUUUUCAUUUCUUCUUGUGCUUUCCUUGCACCAACUGAAAUUCUUCACUGUUUUUUUCUAAUAUUGGACCCUUUUCAACAUUUAAUGGAGAUUGUAUUUCCUUGGCGUCUUUCCUUAAGAUGUUUUCUGGCUCAGUAAUGUCAUCUUUCUGUGGCUCAUUUGUAUCUUGUUUCUCAGUUGUAUUGUACUCUUCCAUUGCUUCAGUAAGUAUGCUUUCCAAAUCUAGCACACAGUCGUUUAUCUUAUUAUGGUGUGCUUCUGGGCACUCUCUAAAGGUAUGACCUUGUACAGAACAUAAGUUGCAUAUUACGUCCUGCUUGCAUUCUGAUCUCAUAUGGCCCAGACAGUUACAUUGAGAGCACUUUAUUUUAUCACAGCAAUAGGCCAAAUGCCUUAUUGACCCACAUUUAUAACAGCUUCUAGGCUGUCCUGGAUAAUAGCAAAUGCCUCUGUCCGUACCAAUAAAAAAACUGUGUGGUAAAUGAUGAGUAACGCCCCCUGUCUGCCACAGUUUAACUUGCAGUUUCCAUCCACCAUUCCAUAGCCCAAUCUCAUCAUAAAUCUUUUGUGGGUCACUCACCACUGUACAGUGUCUCUUUAUCCAGUACAUUAUGUCAUUUAAAGCCACUACUUCUGUCUGGAACUGGAGAUUGAUGGACACUGUAGCCUGUUUUGUGAGUGGGAUAGCUUUUAUAUUUUUCCAGAUACCAUCUGAUUUUGUCCUAUGGAAAAUCACCCAAAACAUAUCCAGGUUCUGCAUCAGUUUAUGCAGUUAAUGUCAAAUUGUCUUGAUCCAGGAAAGUGAAUAAAUGCAAAUAUUUCACUUGCAGAAAAACCCAUGAAUUCCAUUAAGAGUUUGUGACCAAUUAAUAUUCUGUCUGGAAUGUCAGGUUCUGGUCCUGUGAACAACAGACGCACUGCAUUCUUCCGCUUAGAUACAUCUCCCCUUGAUCUUGCUACAUUUGAAAACAAAUUCCCGCUUGCUGCAGGUUGUUGUACAUUUACCUGUGAGCUGUUCUGUAUGAUGGUUCCUAUUCCCAUUUUAGUACCUGAAUCCGGUCCAUGUUUUUGUCCUACCGCAUUGCUAGAGCCAGUUCCAGAUUGCAGAUGUCUAUCUGGUGAUUCCUCCAGAUUUUGCUUUGCUGUGGAAUCCCUGCUUUGUGUUGAAUCUCUUGCAAUGCUUACGCCAAGAGGUUUUUGCAAAUCACUUUCUUUCUCAAUAAGUCUUUCCACAACACGCUUCAUGCUCCUAGAUCUCAGCUUAUGGACAGUUAUUUCAUUUAAGCAUUCAGGUAUAGCAAUGCUGAGGGCUGCUGGUUUAUCGCACCCAGGUGAACUCUCAGGUUAACAUUCAGCAGCAGCCUCUCCUGUUUGAGCAGGUAAAGUCACUUUGCACAUUUUAUCACUUAAUUUCUAUAUCAUUACCCCUACUUGCUUGUCUUUUAGCAGUUGUGUUGGUACCUUCUUAAUCCUUAAUGGGUUUAACUUUUGCAUUUUAUAACAUUUUCUUUCCUCACCUUUUAUUGCACUUUUCAGUUUUUCAAUGCUUUGCUCUUUUACAUCCAUUGCCGUUUGUAGGGAGUCGAUCUCCACCUGGAUCUGAUCAAUCUGCUGCAGAAAACCUUUUUUUUUCAGAUUCUUGGGUCACUUCAUCCACUUUCUUCACCAAAUCUUGCUUCUGCUUGUACAAAUCAUAAUACAUUGCACAUAAAGUCUGAUAAUUAGCAGAAGCAUCUCCCAGUCUUUUGUCCAAAACCGUCAAAGCUUUACUAAUUAAACUUUCCUUAAAAUGUCUGCUUUCAUUUGUUUGGGCUUCUUGGCCUUCCAACACCUCCAGGCCUGGGACUAGAGCAGAACUUGUAUCCAGAACACCAACACUCCCCCCUGGGUGUGAGGCCAUCCUCAGUCCCCCUACAGGAGCUCCAACAUAUAGGAGUUAUAGGGAGAGGUUAUAUUGAGUAAUAGGAGAAGUUAUAGGGAGAGGUUAUAUGGAGUAAUAGGAGAAGUUAUAGAGAGAGGUUAUAUGGCGUAAUAGGAGGAGUUAUAGAGAGGUUAUAGGGAGUAAUAGGAGUUAUAGAGAGAGGUUAUAUGGAGUAAUAGGAGGAGUUAUAGAGAGGUUAUAUGGAGUAAUAAGAACAGGUAGAGAGAGAAAGGGUUUAUAUGGAGUAAAGAAUAGAGAAUAUAGAGAGUUUAAAAUGAGGUAUAGGGAGAGAUUAUAUUGUGUAAUAGGUGGAGUUAUAGAGAGAGGUUAUAUGGAGUAAUAGGUGGAGUUAUAGAGAGAGGUUAUAUGGAGUAAUAGGAGGAGUUAUAGAGAGGUUAUAUG